UCUGGAAAGGCGCGCGAUACAGGGUGACAGCCCCGUACACAAAAAUGCACAUGCUGUGAGCUCGAUGAGUAGGGCGGGACACGUGGUAUCCUGUCUGAAUAUGGGGGGACCAUCCUCCAAGGCUAAAUACUCCUGACUGACCGAUAGUGAACCAGUACCGUGAGGGAAAGGCGAAAAGAACCCCGGCGAGGGGAGUGAAAAAGAACCUGAAACCGUGUACGUACAAGCAGUGGGAGCACGCUUAGGCGUGUGACUGCGUACCUUUUGUAUAAUGGGUCAGCGACUUAUAUUCUGUAGCAAGGUUAACCGAAUAGGGGAGCCGAAGGGAAACCGAGUCUUAACUGGGCGUUAAGUUGCAGGGUAUAGACCCGAAACCCGGUGAUCUAGCCAUGGGCAGGUUGAAGGUUGGGUAACACUAACUGGAGGACCGAACCGACUAAUGUUGAAAAAUUAGCGGAUGACUUGUGGCUGGGGGUGAAAGGCCAAUCAAACCGGGAGAUAGCUGGUUCUCCCCGAAAGCUAUUUAGGUAGCGCCUCGUGAAUUCAUCUCCGGGGGUAGAGCACUGUUUCGGCAAGGGGGUCAUCCCGACUUACCAACCCGAUGCAAACUGCGAAUACCGGAGAAUGUUAUCACGGGAGACACACGGCGGGUGCUAACGUCCGUCGUGAAGAGGGAAACAACCCAGACCGCCAGCUAAGGUCCCAAAGUCAUGGUUAAGUGGGAAACGAUGUGGGAAGGCCCAGACAGCCAGGAUGUUGGCUUAGAAGCAGCCAUCAUUUAAAGAAAGCGUAAUAGCUCACUGGUCGAGUCGGCCUGCGCGGAAGAUGUAACGGGGCUAAACCAUG
This 846-nucleotide ribosomal RNA is filed under the name Escherichia coli. Its description in RNAcentral is "partial 23S ribosomal RNA". It matches the Rfam family "Bacterial large subunit ribosomal RNA", at positions 341 to 1191 of the family's 2925-position model. The record is from RNAcentral. Lineage: Bacteria; Pseudomonadati; Pseudomonadota; Gammaproteobacteria; Enterobacterales; Enterobacteriaceae.